Molecule: ribosomal RNA, 253 nt
Filed under: uncultured bacterium
Lineage: Bacteria
Description: partial 16S ribosomal RNA
Rfam family: Bacterial small subunit ribosomal RNA
Source: RNAcentral
UACGUAGGUGGCAAGCGUUGUCCGGAUUUACUGGGCGUAAAGAGCGCGCAGGCGGCCAAGUCAGUCGAAUGUGAAAGCCCCCGGCUUAACUGGGGAGGGUCAUUCGAUACUGCUCGGCUCGAAGACAGGAGAGGGAUGCGGAAUUCCAGGUGUAGCGGUGAAAUGCGUAGAUAUCUGGAGGAACACCGGUGGCGAAGGCGGCAUCCUGGACCGACACUGACGCUGAGGAGCGAAAGCCAGGGGAGCAAACGGG